UACGUAGGGUGCGAGCGUUGUCCGGAAUUAUUGGGCGUAAAGAGCUUGUAGGCGGUUUGUCGCGUCUGCCGUGAAAAUCCGGGGCUCAACCCCGGGCCUGCAGUGGGUACGGGCAGACUAGAGUGCGGUAGGGGAGACUGGAAUUCCUGGUGUAGCGGUGAAAUGCGCAGAUAUCAGGAGGAACACCGGUGGCGAAGGCGGGUCUCUGGGCCGUAACUGACGCUGAGGAGCGAAAGCAUGGGGAGCGAACAGG
Molecule: ribosomal RNA, 253 nt
Filed under: uncultured bacterium
Lineage: Bacteria
Description: partial 16S ribosomal RNA
Rfam family: Bacterial small subunit ribosomal RNA
Source: RNAcentral